UGAGGAAUCUUGCGCAAUGGGGGAAACCCUGACGCAGCAACGCCGCGUGAGUGAGGAAGGUCUUCGGAUCGUAAAGCUCUGUCGGGUGGAAAGAAAUGUAUGGGGUUAAUAGCCUUCAUACUUGACGGUACCACCAAAGGAAGCACCGGCUAACUCCGUGCCAGCAGCCGCGGUAAUACGGGGGGUGCAAGCGUUGUUCGGAAUUAUUGGGCGUAAAGAGCGUGUAGGCGGCUUGGCAAGUCAGAUGUGAAAGCCCUGGGCUUAACCCAGGAAGUGCAUUUGAAACUGCCUAGCUUGAGUAGGGGAGUGGGAAGUGGAAUUCCUGGUGUAGAGGUGAAAUUCGUAGAUAUCAGGAGGAACACCGGUGGCGAAGGCGACUUCCUGGCCCUAUACUGACGCUGUGACGCGAGAGCGUGGGUAGCAAACAG
This 428-nucleotide ribosomal RNA is filed under the name uncultured bacterium. Its description in RNAcentral is "bacterial SSU rRNA". It matches the Rfam family "Bacterial small subunit ribosomal RNA", at positions 355 to 775 of the family's 1533-position model. The record is from RNAcentral.